Molecule: ribosomal RNA, 430 nt
Filed under: uncultured bacterium
Lineage: Bacteria
Description: bacterial SSU rRNA
Rfam family: Bacterial small subunit ribosomal RNA
Source: RNAcentral
GAACGCGAAGAACCUUACCAAGACUUAAAUGGGAAUUGACAGCUAUAGAGAUAUGGUUUUCUUCGGACAAUUUUCAAGGUGCUGCAUGGUUGUCGUCAGCUCGUGCCGUGAGGUGUUAGGUUAAGUCCUGCAACGAGCGCAACCCUUGUCACUAGCUGCCAUCAUUAAGUUGGGGACUCUAGUGAGACUGCCUACGCAAGUAGAGAGGAAGGUGGGGAUGACGUCAAAUCAUCACGGCCCUUACGUCUUGGGCCACACACGUAAUACAAUGGGCGAUACAGAGGGCAGCUACACAGCGAUGUGAUGCGAAUCUCGAAAGUCGUUCUCAGUUCGGAUUGGAGUCUGCAACUCGACUCUAUGAAGCUGGAAUCGCUAGUAAUCGCGUAUCAGCCAUGACGCGGUGAAUACGUUCCCGGGUCUUGUACACACC